RNA transcript from Triplophysa rosa, 3477 nucleotides. RefSeq lists it as uncharacterized. The transcript is spliced from 4 exons. Lineage: Eukaryota; Metazoa; Chordata; Actinopteri; Cypriniformes; Nemacheilidae. The record is from RefSeq and is a predicted model, not a curated record.
ACCAACGUGGAAGCGAAACAUGGCGGAAAGAGCAACGCCUACGACUCUUUAUCCUCCUUCUAAACGGAUAAAAUCCGAAGUAUGGAAAUAUUUUGGAUUUCGCACAAAUGCAGAAGGUUCGUUAGUUGAGGAUGGUUUCCCUAUUUGUAAAAAAUGUGGCAGGAAAAUAGCCGCGAAACAGGGGAACACCUCCAACAUGUUUGCCCAUAUUCGCAACCACCAUCCGUCUGAAUUCAUGCAGAUAACAAUGUCACUAUCAAAUAAGGAAAAAACAACUCCGCUCAGAACAAGACUAAACAAUCCUUUUGAAAGGGCCAGAUAUCUUGCAAAAAGAAGAGAAAGCAGCAGCAGUAGCAGUGAUGUUGUUGAGCUGAACUCUCAGCAGCUUCAGGAAUCUCCUCCAGUGUACUCCAGCAGUGAGAAUGAUUGCAGCUCUGUGACACACGACAGUCCUGAGAGAAACCACAGCUGGAUGAAGCAAGAGCCAAAGAAUGAAAUAAUCGAGUGGGAAAAUAUCAACUCAGACGUCCCCGCUGAGGCUGAACAGGACAGCACGAGCAAUACCAUCUCCAGUACAUCAUUCACUGAGCAUCAGUGUAAACAAGCUUAUUAGCAUCUCACUAUUAGAAUUUCAUUGAGAUGAUUCUUACUUAAAUGUGUGGGGUUGCAAUGAUUCAAAUGGUAGGGCCGAAUCAUCAGCAACCAAUUUUGAGUGGGUAAAGCCAGGUGUACAAUGUACGAUUUAUGAACGUGAUCCCAUCUAAAAGCCAUGUCACUCUGUGGGAUCUUAGCUAUUGUCUUUUGAUUUAAAGGGAUAGUUCACCAAAAAAAAGAAAAUUCUGUCAUCAUUUAGUCCCCCUCAGGUUGUUUCAAAUCUGUAUAAAUAUAUUUGUUCUGAUGAACACAGAAAGAUAUUUGGAAGAAUGUUAGCAAUUUUCAGUUCUGGGACAUCCUUCAUUACUAUAGUAUGAAAAAUAUUGCAUUUUUUUGUUCUGUUGAAUGCAAAAUAAGAUAUUUUGAAGAAUUUAGGUAAACAAACAGUUCUGGGGCACAUUUGAGUACCAUUUAAUUUUCCCUACUGUGGUAGUCAGUGAUGUCCCAGAACUGAAAACUGCUAAUAUUCUUCCAAAUAUCUUUCUCUGUGUUCAUCAGAACAAAGCAAGUUAUACAGGUCUGAAAUUACCAGGGGUUGAGUAAAUGAUGACAGAAUUUUCAUUUUUGUGUGAACUAUCCCUUUAAGACAGUUUUAUGGCAGGUUAUGUAUGAGAAGUCGCCAGACUGUGUUUUAAAAUCAGUGAUCAUUAGUGUAGCACAGGUGUUCCUAUAAGUCAGCCGGUUGUCAGGGGUUGAUAAAAGUAUACCUGUACCUUGAAUGCACUGUAAAUCACUUUGAACUAAAUGUAACCAUUGUUGGGUGUAACUAGUUACUAAGUAAUUAGUUACUGUAAUUUAAUUACUUGAAAAAGUAAAGUAAGGGAUUACUCUUAUUUUUUCUGUAAUUUAAUUACACUUACUUCUGAUGUAAUUGAACUAAAUACUGUGUAAUAUAUUCAAUAGUGGAAAUGACAUCAAAAUUAUAAGUCUAACUUUAAAUGUAUGCUUUAAUGUAAACUUCUCGCAUUUGUAUACUUUGGUCAGUUAAUAAGAAUAAUUUAUGUAAUUAUUUAUUUGACUGAAUUAAAAGAGCCGUUUCAUGUAUAUCCUUGAAUCACUUAACUAAUCAAGGUUGAUGAAGGAUAUAGAAAGUAAUUGGUAAUAAGUAACUAAAUACUUUUUGGAGCGAGCAAUUUGUACAGUAAUCUAAUUACACUAUUGAAUAGAUAAUUAGUAACUAGUAAUUAAUUAUUUUUUCAGAGUAACUUACCCAACACUGAACGUAACUAAUUUUAACAUUUUUUCUGCAUCCCAAACAUUAUGAGGCCCUUAUAGUCCUGAGGGGAGACUAUUUAUAAAAGCAAUGACACCCAUGGAGGUUUUACUCACCAAUGAGAUGCUGACCAUCACCAAACUCAAGUGUCUGCUGGAGAAUAAACAAGAGAAGAUUGACACGCUGGAACAACAGGUGCAGGAUCUACAGGAGGAUCGCAAGUUCCUCCGCACACAGAUCGAGAAGCUCACCAACGUGCUCUCUGCUCGCUUCUGUGAAGGUGUGGAGAAAUCUCAAGAAAAGUUGAACGAUUAAAUUUACCGAAGAAGUGUGUUUCAAAUUUGGUGCUAGAUUACCUUUAUGUACAGAUGUGGGGCAGGUUUGAGAAACACUGCUGUGUCAUCUAAACUGAGUGUGUCAAAGUUUUUGUAGUGUUCUUUCUGCUUUUAUGGCAACAGUUUCAACAUUCUCACAAACACUGAUGAAGCACUUAAAGGCCUAACAGGUGUACAGCUGCUGAGAAGUCACUAGAUGGCGCUCUGAUACUAUUGCUGUGAUAGUAUGUACAGUACAUGUCUCUUGUUAGAGUUGUAAGAAGAGAUGCCAGAUUUCUCUUAUGUUCUGUUUUUCUAUUCAGUUCUUAUUGUUUGAGUUGCACUGUGUGCAACAGAUCAACUAGUUCCUUGAUCAUUUCCCCUUGAAGCUGUAUACAGUGGCUGCCAAAACAAAUACGCAAAGUUGUUUAUGGCACAAUUGUGAUUGUGCUUUAUUUAAUUUCAUUUUUCUUAUUAGUUUAUUUGAAAAUGGUUUUACUUCUGACCUGAAGUAUUAUUACUGAGAAACUUAUUUUACACCACACACGUGUCAUCAAAUAUCACUUUUGAUGGUUUAUGAACAUUUUGCUUUUCCUGCCUUUGGAAAUGCUUUAAAAAUCCUUUUAUUUCCUUAUUUUUAUUUAUUCUGCACGCUAGCCCUUAUGUCAAGUCCCUGUUCUUUAUUUUAAUUUUUUCCCCAAGAGAUUUUAUUGUAUAAGGCUGUUAAAUCAUAUAAACUCUCAAACCAAACAAAAGUAAAGGAUCAGUCUGUAAUGUACAUUGCAAAUCAACCAGUUAAAUGUCUAAAUACGCAUAAUUUAUGUUUCAUUAAUGCCUUAUAGGACAGUCUUGAUAAUUGAAGUACAGAACCGCAUAGCCUACACAGUUUUGCACAAUGAUGAUUUUAAUGAAAUGUAAAGUGUACAAUACUACUUAUUUCAUGCAUGUGACAGACAGAUCAUAUCCACAUGCUUUUGUCAUUUAUGUAGGGCUGUCAAACGAUUAAUCAAAUUCAGAAUAAAUGUUUGUGUUUACAUAAUAUAUGUCUGUGUACUGUGCAUAUUAAUUUUGUAUUUAUAAACACAUACAUGUAUGUGUUUAUAAAUAUGUUUAUUACUUUUUAUAUUUUGUUUUUAUAAAUACCAUAUCUGACUAAUAGGUCACUUUCACUUCAUAAAAAAUGUUGACAUCGCCACCUGUUGGACACCUGAAGAAAGGCAACCAAGGGGUAUUCUUAAAGUCCACUAUGCUUGUUAUUCUGUUAUUCAUCACUGUUCAAUACAAAUAUUUCAUUAA